GACGAACGCUGGCGGCGUGCUUAACACACGCAAGUCGAACGGUAAGGCCCUUCGGGGUACACGAGUGGCGAACGGGCGAGUAACACGUGGGUGAUCUGCCCUGCACUUCGGGAUAAGCCUGGGAAACUGGGUCUAAUACCGGAUAGGACUCCGGACUGCAUGGUCUGGGGUGGAAAGCUCUUGCGGUGUGGGAUGGGCCCGCGGCCUAUCAGCUUGUUGGUGGGGUGAUGGCCUACCAAGGCGACGACGGGUAGCCGGCCUGAGAGGGUGACCGGCCACACUGGGACUGAGAUACGGCCCAGACUCCUACGGGAGGCAGCAGUGGGGAAUAUUGCACAAUGGGCGCAAGCCUGAUGCAGCGACGCCGCGUGAGGGAUGACGGCCUUCGGGUUGUAAACCUCUUACAGCAUCGACGAAGCGAAAGUGACGGUAGGUGCAGAAGAAGGACCGGCCAACUACGUGCCAGCCGCCGCGGUAA
RNAcentral lists this ribosomal RNA (478 nucleotides) under uncultured bacterium. RNAcentral describes it as "partial 16S ribosomal RNA". It matches the Rfam family "Bacterial small subunit ribosomal RNA", at positions 28 to 523 of the family's 1533-position model. The record is from RNAcentral.